GAUGAACGCUGGCGGCGUGCCUAAUACAUGCAAGUCGAGCGAACGGACGAGAAGCUUGCUGUUCUGAUGUUAGCGGCGGACGGGUGAGUAACACGUGGAUAACCUACCUAUAAGACUGGGAUAACUUCGGGAAACCGGAGCUAAUACCGGAUAAUAUUUUGAACCGCAUGGGGCAAAAGUGAAAGACGGUCGUGCGGUCACUAAUAGAGGGAUACGCGCUGCAUUAGCUAGUUGGUAAGGUAACGGCUUACCAAGGCAACGAUGCAUAGCCGACCUGAGAGGGUGGUCGGCCACCCUGGAACUGAGACACGGUCCAGACUCCUACGGGAGGCAGCAGUAGGGAAUCUUCCGCAAUGGGCGAAAGCCUGACGGAGCAACGCCGCGUGAGUGAUGAAGGUCUUCGGAUCGUAAAACUCUGUUAUUAGGGAAGAACAUAUGUGUAAGUAACUGUGCACAUCUUGACGGUACCUAAUCAGAAAGCCACGGCUAACUACGUG
This 497-nucleotide ribosomal RNA is filed under the name uncultured bacterium. RNAcentral's name for it is "partial 16S ribosomal RNA". It matches the Rfam family "Bacterial small subunit ribosomal RNA", at positions 28 to 507 of the family's 1533-position model. The record is from RNAcentral.